This 285-nucleotide long non-coding RNA is filed under the name Mytilus galloprovincialis (Mediterranean mussel). The record is from RNAcentral. Lineage: Eukaryota; Metazoa; Mollusca; Bivalvia; Mytilida; Mytilidae.
UCUCUUGACUUUAUUUUGUAAGGAUUCUAAAUGCUGCAAUGGUGCUGUAUUAUCUCUUUUGACUUUAUUUUGUAAGGAUUCUAAAUGCUGCAAUGGUGCUGUAUCAUCUCUUUUGACUUUAUUUUUUAAGGAUUCUAAAUGCUGCAAUGGUGCUGUAUUAUCUCUUUUGACUUUAUUUUCUAAGGAUUCUAAAUGCUGCAAUGGUGCUGUAUUAUCUCUAUUGACUUUAUUUUGUAAGGAUUCUAAAUGCAGCAAUGGUGCUGUAUUAUCUCUUUUGACUUUAUU